AUUGAACGCUGGCGGCAUGCCUUACACAUGCAAGUCGAACGGCAGCACGGGUGCUUGCCCCUGGUGGCGAGUGGCUAACGGGUGAGUAGUACAUCGGAACAUGUCCUGUAGUGGGGGAUAGCCCGGCGAAAGCCGGAUUAAUACCGCAUACGAUCCACGGAUGAAAGCGGGGGACCUUCGGGCCUCGCGCUAUAGGGUUGGCCGAUGGCUGAUUAGCUAGUUGGUGGGGUAAAGGCCUACCAAGGCGACGAUCAGUAGCUGGUCUGAGAGGACGACCAGCCACACUGGGACUGAGACACGGCCCAGACUCCUACGGGAGGCAGCAGUGGGGAAUUUUGGACAAUGGGCGAAAGCCUGAUCCAGCAAUGCCGCGUGUGUGAAGAAGGCCUUCGGGUUGUAAAGCACUUUUGUCCGGAAAGAAAUCCUUGACUCUAAUACAGUCGGGGGAUGACGGUACCGGAAGAAUAAGCACCGGCUAACUACGUG
This 486-nucleotide ribosomal RNA is filed under the name uncultured bacterium. RNAcentral's name for it is "partial 16S ribosomal RNA". It matches the Rfam family "Bacterial small subunit ribosomal RNA", at positions 30 to 507 of the family's 1533-position model. The record is from RNAcentral.